GUGUCCAGAGCCGAGCAUCCCGGUGGACAAAUUGUGGAUUAUUUACACCAGUGGUUCUCAACCAGGGCUAAAUAUAUUCCUUGGGAUACACUGAAGUCUUUCUUGGGAUACAUCAACUCAUCUAGACAUUUGCCUAGGUUUACAACAGGCUACAUAAAAAACACUAGCAAACUCAGUACAAACUAAAAUUUCAUACAGUGACUUAUUUAUACUGAUCUAUAUACUAUACACUGAAAUAUGACUCGAGGGACAGCCAACAACACUGAAAUACUCAGCUACCAAAAAUGGUACUGUCCUGCAACUUUGAAGAGAAACUAUUUUGCAAGGAUAACUGGACAAGAGAGCUGAUAUAUCAGAAGAGAUAUGUGCUUAUUGGUUCUAUAGAGAAGAAGUAAAUGUUCAAAAGUGACAUAUCUUUAAAAGUGACAAUCAUACUACCAAGAAGUCUCAGAAAAGGAACUUGGCUAUUAUUCAUAAAAAUCAUCU
Molecule: long non-coding RNA, 486 nt
Organism: Mauremys reevesii (Reeves's turtle)
Lineage: Eukaryota; Metazoa; Chordata; Testudines; Geoemydidae
Exons: 3
Source: RefSeq, a predicted model, not a curated record